GAUCAUGGCUCAGGACGAACGCUGGCGGCGUGCCUAACACAUGCAAGUCGAGCGAGGAGAUUCCUUCGGGAUGAUCCUAGCGGCGGACGGGUGAGUAACACGUGGGCAACCUGCCUCAUAGAGAGGAAUAGCCUUCCGAAAGGGAGAUUAAUACCUCAUAACAUUGCAGUUUCGCAUGGAACAGCAAUUAAAGGAGUAAUCCGCUAUGAGAUGGGCCCGCGGCGCAUUAGCUAGUUGGUGAGGUAACGGCUCACCAAGGCGACGAUGCGUAGCCGACCUGAGAGGGUGAUCGGCCACAUUGGGACUGAGACACGGCCCAGACUCCUACGGGAGGCAGCAGUGGGGAAUAUUGCACAAUGGGGGAAACCCUGAUGCCAGCAACGCCGCGUGAGUGAUGACGGCCUUCGGGUUGUAAAGCUCUGUCUUCAGGGACGAUAAUGACGGUACCUGAGGAGGAAGCCACGGCUAACUACGUGCCAGCCGCCGC
This 487-nucleotide ribosomal RNA is filed under the name uncultured bacterium. Its description in RNAcentral is "bacterial SSU rRNA". It matches the Rfam family "Bacterial small subunit ribosomal RNA", at positions 15 to 518 of the family's 1533-position model. The record is from RNAcentral.